This 71-nucleotide transfer RNA is filed under the name Sandaracinaceae bacterium. Its description in RNAcentral is "tRNA-Gln". It matches the Rfam family "tRNA". Rfam says of the family: Transfer RNA (tRNA) molecules are approximately 80 nucleotides in length. Their secondary structure includes four short double-helical elements and three loops (D, anti-codon, and T loops). Lineage: Bacteria; Pseudomonadati; Myxococcota; Polyangiales; Sandaracinaceae. The record is from RNAcentral.
UCCGGCGUCGUCCAAGGGCAGGACAGCGGACUUUGGAUCCGCGAAUGUUGGUUCGAAUCCAGCCGCCGGAA